AGAGUUUGAUCCUGGCUCAGAACGAACGCUGGCGGCGCGUCUUAAGCAUGCAAGUCGGACGGCAAGGGUAGCAAUACCCCUAGAGUGGCGGACUGGUGAGUAACGCGUGGGUGACCUACCCUUGAGAUGGGGAUAGCCAUUAGAAAUAGUGGAUAAUACCGAAUACGCUUGCUGUCACUGUGGUGAUGCAAGGAAAGGAGCUACGGCUCCACUCAAGGAUGGGCCCGCGUCCCAUUAGCUAGUUGGUGAGGUAACGGCCCACCAAGGCGACGAUGGGUAUCCGGCCUGAGAGGGUGUACGGACACAUUGGGACUGAGAUACGGCCCAAACUCCUACGGGAGGCAGCAGCUAAGAAUAUUCCGCAAUGGACGAAAGUCUGACGGAGCGACGCCGCGUGGAUGAAGAAGGCCGAAAGGUUGUAAAAUCCUUUUGCUGAUGAAGAAUAAGUGUGGUAGGGAAUGACCGCAUGAUGACAUUAGUCGGUGAAUAAGCCCCGGCUAACUACGUGCCAGCAGCCGCGGUAACACGUAGGGGGCAAGCGUUGUUCGGAAUUAUUGGGCGUAAAGGGCAUGUAGGCGGUUUUGUAAGCCUGGUGUGAAAUCCUGCAGCUUAACUGUAGAAUUGCAUUGGGUACUGCAAGACUUGAAUCACAGAGGGGAAACUAGAAUUCCAGGUGUAGGGGUGGAAUCUGUAGAUAUCUGGAAGAAUACCGGUGGCGAAGGCGGGUUUCUAGCUGAUGAUUGACGCUGAGGUGCGAAAGUGCGGGGAGCAAACAGGAUUAGAUACCCUGGUAGUCCGCACCGUAAACGAUGUACACUAGUGUCG
Molecule: ribosomal RNA, 825 nt
Filed under: uncultured bacterium
Lineage: Bacteria
Description: bacterial SSU rRNA
Rfam family: Bacterial small subunit ribosomal RNA
Source: RNAcentral